Pan troglodytes (chimpanzee) is the source of this 282-nucleotide non-coding RNA. It matches the Rfam family "Metazoan signal recognition particle RNA". Rfam says of the family: The signal recognition particle (SRP) is a universally conserved ribonucleoprotein. It is involved in the co-translational targeting of proteins to membranes. The record is from Rfam. NCBI's taxonomy places the organism in Eukaryota, Metazoa, Chordata, Mammalia, Primates, Hominidae.
GCCGGGCGUGGUGGCGGGCUCCUGUAGUCCCAGCCACUCAGGAGGCUGAGGCAGGAGAAUGGCGUGAACCCGGGAGGCGGAGGUUGCAGUGAGCGGAGAUCGCGCCACAGCACUCCAGCCUGGGCGAAGAGCGAGACUCCGUCUCAAAAAAAAAAAAAUUAUUAAUUAUUUAUUUUAUUUUGAGAUGGACUCUCACUCUGACACCCAGGUUGGAGUGCAAUGGCGUGAUCUCGGCUCACUGCAACCUCCACCUCCUGGGUUCGAGCGAUUCUCCCGCCUCAG